AAGACUAUACUUUCAGGGAUCAUUUCUAUAGUUCUUAACUAGGAAAUGUGUUUCUAAAGAGUCGAGUCACCCAAACCACGAUGAAGAGUGAAGGUGCAUUCCUCUGAGCGUGAAUCGGAUAAUAAUCUGCGGGAUAACCAUGGAUAAUUAUCAUUGAUGAACGUUCUGCGAUUCUUAAUGAAUCUAAGAGGAGGAGUGCACGAACAGAGUGGUU
Molecule: small nucleolar RNA, 214 nt
Organism: Danio rerio (zebrafish)
Lineage: Eukaryota; Metazoa; Chordata; Actinopteri; Cypriniformes; Danionidae
Source: Ensembl